This 486-nucleotide ribosomal RNA is filed under the name uncultured bacterium. RNAcentral describes it as "partial 16S ribosomal RNA". It matches the Rfam family "Bacterial small subunit ribosomal RNA", at positions 28 to 507 of the family's 1533-position model. The record is from RNAcentral.
GAUGAACGCUGGCGGCGUGCCUAAUACAUGCAAGUCGAACGCUGGAAAUCUAGCUUGCUAGAUUGAAGGAGUGGCGAACGGGUGAGUAAUACAUAAGCAACCUACCCACGAAGACUGGGAUAAUCUCUGGAAACGGGGACUAAUACCGGAUAGGUAAUCGGAAGGCAUCUUCUGAUUAUUAAAGGUUAAAAACACUGGUGGAUGGGCUUAUGGCGCAUUAGUUAGUUGGUGAGGUAACGGCCCACCAAGACGAUGAUGCGUAGCCGGCCUGAGAGGGUGAACGGCCACAUGGGGACUGAGACACGGCCCAGACUCCUACGGGAGGCAGCAGUAGGGAAUUUUCGGCAAUGGGGGAAGCCCUGACCGAGCAACGCCGCGUGAGUGAUGACGGCCUUCGGGUUGUAAAGCUCUGUUGUAAGGGAAGAACGGUAGAUAGAGAAUAUCUAAAUGACGGUACCUUACCAGAAAGCCACGGCUAACUACGUG